RNAcentral lists this ribosomal RNA (414 nucleotides) under uncultured Funneliformis. Its description in RNAcentral is "partial 28S ribosomal RNA". Lineage: Eukaryota; Fungi; Glomeromycota; Glomeromycetes; Glomerales; Glomeraceae. The record is from RNAcentral.
GAGAGUUAAACAGUACGUGAAAUUGUUGAAAGGGAAACGAUUGAAGUCAGUCAUACCAACGGGAAAUCAACCUUUUGAGCUUGGUCUCGUGGGUUUUGAAGAGUUUCAAAGCCUUCGGAUUCGCGAGAUUGGGAUCUCUCGGUGUACUUUCUCGUACGGUUAGUCAACAUCGGUUUUGAAUGUCAUAAAAUGACUGGAGGAAUGUAGCUUCGAUCUCGUAUUGAAGUGUUAUAGCCUUUGGUAGAUGUGAUGUUUGAGACCGAGGAUUGCAACGGAUACCCUUCAGGGCUAUUCGUCUGAUCUCUGAUACGUUGCCUUGAUGUUGAAAGCUUGCUUAUGAUGUUAGGGUAUUACGGUCAAAAGGUUAGAACGAAUUACAUUCGUUAAGGAUGUUGACGUAAUGACUUUAAACGA